GAGGAACGAGGGGAGCGUGCCUAAUACAUGCAAGUCGAGCGAACGGACGAGAAGCUUGCUUCUCUGAUGUUAGCGGCGGACGGGUGAGUAACACGUGGAUAACCUACCUAUAAGACUGGGAUAACUUCGGGAAACCGGAGCUAAUACCGGAUAAUAUUUUGAACCGCAUGGUUCAAAAGUGAAAGACGGUCUUGCUGUCACUUAUAGAUGGAUCCGCGCUGCAUUAGCUAGUUGGUAAGGUAACGGCUUACCAAGGCAACGAUGCAUAGCCGACCUGAGAGGGUGAUCGGCCACACUGGAACUGAGACACGGUCCAGACUCCUACGGGAGGCAGCAGUAGGGAAUCUUCCGCAAUGGGCGAAAGCCUGACGGAGCAACGCCGCGUGAGUGAUGAAGGUCUUCGGAUCGUAAAACUCUGUUAUUAGGGAAGAACAUAUGUGUAAGUAACUGUGCACAUCUUGACGGUACCUAAUCAGAAAGCCACGGCUAACUACGUG
This 497-nucleotide ribosomal RNA is filed under the name uncultured bacterium. Its description in RNAcentral is "partial 16S ribosomal RNA". It matches the Rfam family "Bacterial small subunit ribosomal RNA", at positions 28 to 507 of the family's 1533-position model. The record is from RNAcentral.